Molecule: non-coding RNA, 55 nt
Filed under: unclassified sequences
Description: Na+-I sequence
Rfam family: Na+ riboswitch aptamer (DUF1646)
About the family: Proteobacteria, NC10, Acidobacteria, Verrucomicrobia. Lineage (Clostridia) The riboswitch of Na+ was first reported in a comparative analysis of intergenic regions and called DUF1646 RNA, it was also suggested that it acts as cis-reg RNA present upstream of Na+ genes.
Source: Rfam by way of RNAcentral
GGUUGAACGGAUAUUGUCCGUUUUCAAGAGAUUCAGGCUUCUGGGGUGGGAAGCU